CAGACCCCAAGAAAGAAAUCAAGAAUGGCAACUGAAAUUUGUCAUGCUUGAAGCAGCACCUCCUGGAAGACCUAUGAGUUUUGCUCAAGAAACUUUUGGGAACCAAUAAAACUAAACUAUAGUGAUGAAUAUAUAUACAUAUUUUUUGAGCAGGAUAACAUUGCCAGGAAACUUGAAUGUUACUCUUCAAGUAUGGGAUGUAGGGGGUGCGUACAAUAGGCGGCAAGAAGGUGGAUGCAUUUAUCUAUGGACCACAGAGAAUCCUCUUGUUACAAAUUAGCAAAGCUUGGAGAAUUUAAAAGAUUGGUACAUUGUACUGAAGAAAGUGAGCGAAGAGUCAGAAGCUUUGCUACUGGUUGCCUUGGUGAGCAAUAAAAUUUAUUUGGAGCACAUGGAAACAGUAAAACCUGAAAAACACUUAUGGUUUUGCCAGGAAAAUGGUUUUAGUAGCCACUUUAUCUCAGCCAAGACAGGAGACUGUCUUCCUGUAUUUUCAGAAAGUUGCUAAUGAAAUCCUUGGACUCAAAUUAAACAAAGCAGAAAAAUAGAAGAGUCAGAGAGUGGUGAAGGCAGGUAUUGGAAACUACAACCAGGCCCCCAGAAUGGUGACUCUUCCUACAAGCUCUAUGUCUGCAUCCGUG
Molecule: long non-coding RNA, 641 nt
Filed under: Homo sapiens (human)
Lineage: Eukaryota; Metazoa; Chordata; Mammalia; Primates; Hominidae
Description: non-protein coding lnc-FOXD4L5-29:1
Source: RNAcentral